AGCUAGUUGCAUCGAUGUUUAAAUAAUUGAUGUGAUAUCGACUAUGUCGAAUAAAAUUCUAGGUAGAGUUAUGAUAAUGACAUUGUCUGCCUAUGUGUCUUGACCAAAUUACGUGCCAGCAGUCGCGGUAAUACGUAGAAGACUAGUGUUAUUCAUCUUUAAUAGGUUUAAAGGGUACCUAGACGGUAUAUCAAGCCUGCAAUACGGGACUAAUGUACUAGAGUUACUUACGAGGGGGUAUUAAAGUACUGCUGGUGUAGAGAUGAAAUUCUGUCAUACCUCAUUUCGUAAGAAAUACUACGGCACAGGUAUAGGCGAAAGCAUCCCCUUAUGUGAUAACUGACGUUGAAGGACGAAGGCUUUGUGUAGCGAACAGGAUUAGAUACCCCAAUAGUCAAAGCAGAAAAUGAUGAAUGUCAUAGA
RNAcentral lists this ribosomal RNA (423 nucleotides) under Lecanora fuscobrunnea. RNAcentral describes it as "SSU rRNA". It matches the Rfam family "Bacterial small subunit ribosomal RNA", at positions 390 to 822 of the family's 1533-position model. The record is from RNAcentral. Lineage: Eukaryota; Fungi; Ascomycota; Lecanoromycetes; Lecanorales; Lecanoraceae.